Molecule: non-coding RNA, 1396 nt
Organism: Chrysemys picta bellii (western painted turtle)
Lineage: Eukaryota; Metazoa; Chordata; Testudines; Emydidae
Source: RefSeq, a predicted model, not a curated record
UCCCGACCCGCAGCCCCUGCUAGCCCAGCCCUGCCCCCCCCCAGCUCUGCCGGUGCCCCUCACUCCCGACCUGGAAUCCCUGCUAGCCCAGCCCCGAGUCCCGCCCGGCCCCGGCUCUCCGGGUUCACGGCAGGUCUUGACGCCGGUUUCCCAGAAUGAGGUUUAUUCUUAGCUCCCAGCGAGAUAAACAAUUCGGGGCGACGUAUUCCCGGAGCCGCCCCCUCCCCUUCCCACAAUCCCCUGACCCCCCCCCAGACAUCAGCGGUGACCUCACAAGGGCUCUGCCCUGGCACCACUGCCCCCCCCCACUGGUGAGCCUCUCUCUGCCCCCCAGCACUGCCCCCAAUGCUACUUUCCUGCUCCCCCCAGCCCCAAGGACCCCCCUUACACCCUCCAGCCUGGCAGCCCCCCAGAGGGCAUGUCUGCAGCCAGGCCGCCCCUCGCCACCCUCCUCCUAGUGGCCCUGAAUGUGGGGCUCUACCUUCGCCCCCUGGGGUCCCCCGAAAACACCUGCCUCAGCGUGCAGGGGGUCUGGGCUCUGGGCGAGUGGCAGCGCCUCCUGCUAGCUCCCUUCCACCACCUGGGCUGGGGCCACCUGGGGCUGAACAUGGGGGCAUUGCUGUGGCUGGGGGCAGGGCUGGAGGGGAGGGUGGGCAGCGCCCGAGCGGGCUGGAUCCUGGGGGGCAUGACGCUGCUGGGGGGGCUGGUCCAUCUCGGGCUGAACGCGGGGCUGGCGGCCGUCCUGCGAGAUCCCUGGCGCCGGGAACACUGCGCCGUGGGCUUCUCAGGGGUCAUCUUCUCUCUGGAAGCCAUGGAGGGUCUCCUAGCGCCUGUCACCAUAGUAACCCUGGGCAGCGUCACCAUAACCACCAAAUGGCUCUGCCUGGCAGAGUGCUUCACCGUGACCCUCCUGUACCCCAGCAGCUCCUUGACAGGCCACCUGUCUGGAAUGCUGGUGGGCGUGGCUCUGGCGGCCACGCCCCUCGGCUUGGCCACGCCCCUCUCCAUUCACUUAUGAUGGGACCACGACUACAAUGGCAGAACCGUCCCCACCCCACCGCCAGGGGGCGCCUGAAUCCAAACCCACCCGUGAGUGACAGCACCGCUGGGAGCCCUGUUGGGGCAGGAGGCCCAGCCAGAGCCGUCGGAGCUGCCAGCCCCCCAGCCCAGCCCCACGGCACCUGUUUGGUUCCCAGACCUGUUUUGUCAACCUGGGUCUGGUGCUGUUUGUAGGUAAACACGCCCGGCCUGCGACUGAGAGCCCCUCUGUUUCCACUGCACACAGCGGGUGCCUGCCCCACCCCAGGGCGGGGACUGGCUGGCUCAGGGGGGCAGGGGCCUGUCCCCUCUAGGGGGCUCCGGCUCCCACCCAGCCCCAGGGCGGGGACUGGCUGGC